This 5089-nucleotide long non-coding RNA is filed under the name Marmota monax (woodchuck). Lineage: Eukaryota; Metazoa; Chordata; Mammalia; Rodentia; Sciuridae. The record is from RNAcentral.
GUCCUGAGAGCAGACGCUGGAGUUGGUGAGGCCUAAGGACUGGGCCUGGCAGAGGUGCUGCCAGGGGAUAAGAUGCUCCGGUGGGGACAGUGCCAGCCAGGGUAAAAGGUUGACACAGGCUAGAAGCUGGUUGUCAGCUGACUCCUCCCCAGGGACCUGUGGUGAGGUAGAGCCAGGCCACCAGCAGCACAGUGCUUCCCUUGCCACCUUCCCUCACCACCAGCCCCUCAUCUGCCUGUGCUUGGGGUUCUGCAUGACACAAGUCAUACCACCUCUCAGGAGCUAUUUAGGGCCAAACAAGCCUAGAAAAUGCUUCCAGGAACCAGGUGCUAGGAAGAAGACUUGUAUUUGAAGAGCCUUUCUUUCAUCCACUUUGAACCACCUACUCCGUGCCAGGCACUGUGCAGGCUCUGGGGAUGGAGCGACUGGCUAGCCCAGCCCCCGAGCUCCCAGUCCAGAGGGGAGAUGAGCAGUGCUAGGCCACCUCAGGACAGCAUGAUGGAUCUGUGAUCACCUGGGGAGACUGACUUGGGGGUGCAGGGUCGUUCAGGGGUAGCUGUGCUUGGCAUGUGGCCCCUCAUCUCUGUGUCCCUCCAUCCCUACAGCUGAAGGCACCCGGUGCACUGACCCACCUGCAGGCAAACCGGCCAUGGCGGCCAAGCGCAAAGGCGGCCUCAAGCUCAAUGCCAUCUGUGCCAAGCUGAGUCGCCAGGUGGUGGUGGAGAAGGGAGCAGAGGCUGGCUCCCAGGCGGAGGACAGCCCGCUGAGGCCCCGGGACAAAGAGCGCAGUGGCCCUGAGUCUGGGGUGGCUCGGGCCCCACGCAGCGAAGAAGACAAGAGGCGGGCGGUGAUUGAGAAGUGGGUCAACGGGGAGUACAGUGAGGAACCGGCACCUGCACCCAUGCUGGGGCGGAUCACCCGCGAGGGCCUGGAGCUGCCUCCCGAGGGUGUCUACAUGGUCCAGCCCCAGGGCUGCAGCGAUGAGGAAGACCAUGCUGAAGAGCCCUCCAAGGAUGGCAGUGUCCCAGAGAAGGACUCAGAUGGGGCAGCCUCAAAGGACAACAGUAGCCCCGGCAUCAAGCAGGCUUCAGGUGGGUGUCUGGCCUUUAAGAGGCAGGUGGAGGCUGGGAAAGGGUGCUACACUGUGGGGUGACCCAGGAAGGAAGGUCCACGUGUCCAGGUGCCCACCUGCCUCCUCUUCAUUCCUGCCCCAAGCACCAGCAUCAUGUCCAGUGAGAACUCUGGGGGUGGGGGCAGAGUAAAGGGACAGAGAAGGCAGCUUUCCAGGAGUGUGAGGGGGCAGGGGGGAUUGCCCAGCAUACAGUGGGUCCUUAAAAAACAACCGGUGGAGGGACAGAUGGACGGAUGGCCAGACACACAGAGGAAUGGACAGAUGGUGGGUGGGUGGGAAUCAAUAGGAAUGAGCCUUCUGGGGGACCAAGGUCCCUGGCCACCAGUGUGGGGAGCAGUGGUUGUGGUGGGGCAGCAACAUGAACCCCAUGAGCUGCCAGCUGCAAGCACUCUCACUCCGAGAGACUUCUCUGAGGAUCCUAGAAAAGGCUUGGUCCCCUGCCUGUGCCCCAGCAUUCUCCUUCCCUACGUCACUGCCCCUGGCCCUCCUAGGUGGGAACUCAGGCCCAUGAGGCUGGCCAGGCCCAGCCAGAAGAUCCCCUUACACCCAGCCACCCCGACAUGGUCCUCUCGCUGACCUCUUCCCAUGAGAUGGCCAAGGCCUGGCUUCUCUAGUGCCUACGUGUCCUUGGGACUUAGAGCAGUCUCCAGCUCUUUCUGCUCAGGAGAGGACCAGCCUGGGGUUUAUGGCAGGAGAGGGGCCCCCGCUAGAACUAGGUCUGGCCUUUACUCUCGCCCCAGCCUCCUCCCAGGUUGGUGCCUGGAGCUGCACGCCUCCCCUGCCUCUCCCCUGUCCCUGUCCCCCCUGCGGCGAGGGGCGCAUCUCCUCCCUGUGCGGGGAGCCCUGCACAGCCACAUAAUUAUGCAUAUAAGAUAUAAACAGAGCUGUUUAAUUAUCCUUCGCCACAUCAGUGACAGAGUAAUUAACAAACAUUGCAAGAUCAAUGAGGAAGAGUGUGACCUUCAGUUUCCUCUGAUAGGAAAAGCCCUUGCCGUUGCCAGACACAAGGUGAUUGUGCUAGGCCUGAGGAGAGGGAAGGGACAGCAGCCCUUGCUGCUGUCCCUCUGACGCUGUCUACGCUCAGCUCUGCCCACAGUGGAGGGGCUAGAGGAGGCCUCACCUCCUGAAUCCUCCCUUCCUGGAGAGAGGAGCUGGAAAGGCAGGAGGCAGGGAUCGAACUGCCCUGCGCCUCGUGGCCUGAGCUCUCCUUCCCUCAGCCCCAGGUGGCUAGGGAGCCAGUGGAGCCCCAGCUACCUUCCAUGGCCUUGGCUCCCCAGGCCAAGAAGACUUCUCUGGGCCUGGGGGUCAGGAAUGCAGGGCUCUGGAACUGCCUCUAGGACCCUGCCUGGCCCCCUCCCUGCUCCAAGUUGCCUGCCCUUCAGAGCCUUCGGUUUCCCUGCCAUAUAUAGUGAGGGUUCAGCUGCCUCCAGCUAUUUUUAGCCCCUUUCCCUGGUCCCUGAGCCACUGUAUCCAGCAGCCAGAGCCCACUCCUCCCAGGCCAGGCCCCCAACCUCUGUGGCUGGUGUUCCAGACUGUGGCUGACCCACCUGCCCUGCCAGGGGAACAGCUGUCUGAGGGUUCCUUGAGUCACUCUGCCCAGCCUGGGUGCCAGGGAGCUGCCUGUGACCCUCCCCUCCUUAGCUAGUGGGCUCCCAGUCCUCCCCAGAAGCUGAGAACCCCUCCUUCCUCAUUCUGCUGGGUUUUCUCUCCUGCCAGGCCCUGCCCGCUCUGCUCCUUUGGCCUCCCUCUGCCCCUUCCACUUGUGCUCAGAGCACCUCAGGCCUAGCAGGUUUGGGUGGGGUUGGGCGGAAUCCCCGCUGGCAUGCCUUCCUUAAGCUGUACUGUCAGGACCCACAGUCUGGGUCCUGCUACUCUGAGUGUGCCCAGGUGGGCAGGCUCAAGCUGAGUAGAGAACACUGUGUCCCCUGGACUGUGUGUCUCACUUGUCAGUAUGUGCCCAACCCUGAUGGAGGGCGCAACCUGCCGUAAGUGGAAGAAUGAGCACCCUCUCACACAUUGGAGACCACCUGUCUGCCAGGCCGAAAGGCUGUGUGUAGAAGGCACAUUAGAAGGGGCCAUGUUGGCCUAAGACUUGUCCCGGGGAGCUGGCUGUAUCUGCAGAGUUAGGAAAAGCAGCUACGAACGUGAGCUUGUGAGUCCAUGUGUGUGAGCACAUGUGUGAGUGUGGUGUGUGCAUGUGUGUGAACAUGAGCCUGCAUGUGGUGUGAACAUGGGGGAGGGAGAGUGUACGUGUCACUGUGGGGAGGUCCCUCCAGGGUUCAGUGUGCCCUAGGUGCAGACAGUGGGGAGGAUGGAUGUGCCCAGCCCAGGCCUGCUGCCCUGGGCCUACAGUGCUGGCUGCUCCCACCUGCCCUGGUCCUUGCUCUCCCAGGUGACCCACCUUGGUGUGCUCCAUGUGGUAAAUCUUGGCUGGAGGAAGGGCCCUACAUGAGUCUGUGUGGGCACGUUGGCACAGUCCCUGCCCUGCUCAGUUCUGUGGUUGGGGGGAGGCUGAGAAGCCAGGUCAUGAGGCAUCAUGGGGCAAGGCCCUCAUCAGCCAACGAGAUCCAUUUAUGGGGCUCAGGGCAGUUCACCAUGCCAGGUUCACCCCAACCCCACCCAGAGCAUCUCUCUCAGCUCCUGGGAUCUCUCCUGACUGUCCAGUCACCACCCACAUCCCUACCUGUCCCUGUGCCUGUAACUACUGCCCCCACCUCAGGAGGCAGGUUGGGAUUUGGCCUUCCAGUAAGAUGACUUCUCUUUCAUAUUAGGCCAAGGCGAGAGAGCGGAGACAUUUAUGAAACUUUGUUUAAUGUACUGAAAAGCCAUCGGCCAGAACAUUUAGGAAAUUGAUUUUCCUGGCAUUGAUGAACUCGUUUUAUUUUACCCCAGUAUUAAUUACUUUUUUUUAAAACAAAUUAAUUUAAGAGUCGUAAAACCUAACAAGUGGGCCGAAUGUCCAUAGAUCAUGUCCUGCUCUGCCCCUCCCCACACAGGCCCCUCUCUGUGGUGGGGGCUCGCAGUGGGGGGCCUCUUGGCCCUUCCUCCCCUGAUUCCUCCCAGAGGUGACCACCCCCUCCUCCUUGUAGGAGAGGCCUCCUCGCUAAGGGACUAUGCGGCCUCCACCAUGACCGAGUUCCUGGGCAUGUUUGGCUAUGAUGACCAGAACACGAGGGAUGAACUGGCCAGGAAGAUUAGCUUCGAGAAGCUGCAUGCGGGCUCCCCCCCUGAGGCGACCCCCUCUUCCAUGUUACCCACCUCUGAGGAAAGCCUCAGCAAGCGGGCACGCUUCUCCAAGUAUGAGGAGUACAUCCGCAAGCUCAAGGCCGGCGAGCAGCUCUCUUGGCCAGCCCAUGGCACCAAGGCUGAGGAGCGGGCAGGCAAGGAGAUGGUGGGCCCUCUGCCUGGCCUGCGGCUGCCCAGCAACACCACCCACCUGGAGACCAAGGCCACCAUCUUGCCCCUGCCAUCACACAGCAGUGUCCAAAUGCAGAACCUGGUGGCCCGGGCCUCCAAGUAUGAUUUUUUCAUUCAAAAACUGAAGACCAGUGAGAACCUGCGCCCUCAGAAUGGGAGUGCCUACAAGAAGCCGUCCAAGUAUGACCUGGAGAACGUCAAGUACCUGCACCUCUUCAAACCCGGGGAGGGCAGCCCCGACAUGGGCGGGGCCAUUGCCUUCAAGACAGGCAAGGUGGGGCGCCCCUCCAAGUAUGACGUCCGGGGCAUCCAGAAGCCAGGCCCCGCCAAGGUUCCGCCCACCCCCAGCCUGGCUCCUGCACCCCUCGCCAGUGUGCCCACUGCUCCCAGUGCCCCCGGGCCGGGGCCCGAGCCACCUGCCUCCCUGUCCUUCAAUACUCCCGAGUACCUGAAGUCUACCUUCUCCAAAACAGACUCCAUCACCACGGGGACCGUCUCCACUGUCAAGUAAGGCACUCCCCAUCCCACUGUACCCCAAGC